CUUACGACUCUUGGCCAGUCCCUAAGGACAGCUUUUGAUUUAUUAAAUUUAAAUAGAUUAGUAACUGGCAUAGACAACUAUGGGCAGUGCUGAACAGUUUGGGAGAUGAGCCAUUUUUCUAACAACACUGCAUGUCCAAAAGUACUGGAAGGAGCACAACUUUUUCAAAACACUUUCUUUCCAGUGAGUUUACCUCAACAUUUCUCUGCGUAUGUGUAUUUUUAUAAACCUGCCUGUUGUAUCAGAGCCUCGAGAGACUUUGCUUUUUUAAUCUCUCUAUUGCAACUAUCCCUUUGAAACAGGAUUUUUUUGGUGUGGGCCAGCAUUCUCAUGCUCAUUAGUAUGAGCUGCUGAAAUACAGAUGUUGUAGGUUAAACAUGUGCAUUAGGACUCAGAGUUCUUUCUGGUGCUGGAUCAAAGCCUGGAUUUCCUUCACUUGAAGGGUACUACUCGUGUUGGGCAAAGUAUAUAAUGUACUCAUGUGGGGCCUACUGACUUGAAUCUCCCCUUUUUGUUGGUUAUUCUCAGUAAUUGUCCACUCUCUGAGGAUUAGUGCUUAGUACUGCUCUUGGUAUUUAACAUGGGAAUGUGGUUGUGAACAUAAGUCCCCGUCUCUUUCCAGUCUAAGCAGGGUUCGUGAUAACAUGCCAUGUUUGUUUGUGAAGGAAAUUUGUCAUGCUGCAUUUUAUGGCUUCCCCAUGAGAUGAUCAAGUGACCCUAAACAUUUUUACAAUGCCUGUUUAGGAUGUAACUUUAAAAAAAGUGCUAGUUCCACACAUGGGAACACAUUUUCCUAUGGCCGUCUGCUGUCCUCAUACAUCUGUGUGUAAUUUUCCCAUUUUUCUGGUGUUUUUGUUUAGUUACAGGAGCUGUAUUACUCUUGAACACUUAACCCCUCUAGGCCCACACACAAAAUACUUGGUCUUUCCCAUUGCUACUGAUAAUUACUCUAAUUAAACCCAUGUCAAAUAAUUUGCUCUAAGUGAACCAGCUGUGCUCAACUACUCAAGUGGGCAGUUGAGUUGUCAUGACUGUUUUGACUCACUAGUAGUGUUCAUUACUGCAAUAGCUGUUCUUUUGCCUGUGAAACAAUGACUGUUUGAUCUGUUCUGGUUGCAAUUCUCUCUGGGCUUGAACCCAUCCUCACUUAGGAACAUUUUUCUCCAUUCCACAUGUGGAGCUGGCUGUUGAAGAGGUAUUCACAUGUUUAGUCAGGUGACUAAAUCAAAAUUCUAACUCUAUUUAGCAAAAAUAGAUGAAUGUAUUGCAAAUGGCAGGUCAUCUGGUGCUGAAGUCAAAGGUUCCCAUUUUGGCUAAUCUAACCUAAAUAGCAAUUUUUAAAAAAGAAAUCAAAUUCCACAAUACUUAACUGAUCCUUCAGCAUUUGCAGGAUGAGAUCUGGGGCAGCUAAUUGUCCUCAACUUCACACUGGUCUUUGUUUUGGUAGCUUGCCAUCUUGUUCUUGUCUACCACCUAAAAUUUAAUCCAAAUACUUACCAUUGCAUGGUAUAAGAAACUUAAAAAACCAGGAAAAUAAAAGUGGUCAGAGUGCUUAGUUGCAAUUGAAAUAGUUUUCAUUCAGAACAGAAACUGCUGAUUAACUUUUUUCUAAAGAAGCUGCAAAUACUAAGACUACAAAAUAGUAGUUAACUGAAAUUUAGCAGGCAGAUAUUGGAAGACUGAGUAUGUCAGAGUAAGAGAAGAUAAUUUUACAAAAAACCCCAAUGUAUAGACCAUCUUAGGUGUGGUAUUAUGUGAUGUAAUAAAAUCCAAACUUCAUCUUCUGCGGGAAAUUUCUGUGGCUAAAAAAUCUUUGGACUGUCAUGCUUGUAUUUUGGUGUAUUGACUUCUAAAUAGUUGUUGAGAUCCACUUGUUACAUGAAAAUGAACAAAUGUAAAACAGACUUUUCUUACACAUGCAAAUGACAAGACAUGAUACAAGCCUGAUGGGAUUGUCUGGUUAUGUCUCUACCAGUGUGAUAUCUUGUACCCCUGCUGAGUGUGAACUGUUUGUUUAAAUGGCAGAGUGACGCAAUAUACUCGAUUUCUUUAAAAGUUGACCAGAGUUCUCCAUCAGCUGACCUUCUGAACAAGAAUGGUGGCUGAACGGUCAUUCUGAAGUUGGGGAAAAUCUGCUUCAUAUUUUCUUGCAGCUUUAAUGUUUGGAUUUUUAUUGUUUAUCAUACUGCUCUUUAAGCAAAUAAGUACUGGCAUAAAGAUUGAGUUACCAUGUGAUCAGCUGAUCACAGGAUCUCAUGUUUAGAUCUUAAAGGACACUGUCAACACACUUAAA
Molecule: non-coding RNA, 2293 nt
Organism: Cyanistes caeruleus (blue tit)
Lineage: Eukaryota; Metazoa; Chordata; Aves; Passeriformes; Paridae
Source: RefSeq, a predicted model, not a curated record